RNAcentral lists this ribosomal RNA (417 nucleotides) under Escherichia coli. RNAcentral's name for it is "bacterial SSU rRNA". It matches the Rfam family "Bacterial small subunit ribosomal RNA", at positions 94 to 527 of the family's 1533-position model. Lineage: Bacteria; Pseudomonadati; Pseudomonadota; Gammaproteobacteria; Enterobacterales; Enterobacteriaceae. The record is from RNAcentral.
ACUGGCGGACGGGUGAGUAACACGUAGCUAACCUGCCCUUCCGCGCGGGAUAACGUUCCGAAAGGAAUGCUAAUACCGCAUAAGCUCACACUCUGUAAAGGGGGGUGAGAAAAGGCGCAAGUCACGGGAGGAGGGGGCUGCGACCCAUCAGCUAGUUGGUGAGGUAACGGCUCACCAAGGCGACGACGGGUAGGGGGCCUGAGAGGGUGGCCCCCCACACUGGGACUGAGACACGGCCCAGACUCCUACGGGAGGCAGCAGUGAGGAAUAUUGCACAAUGGGGGCAACCCUGAUGCAGCGACGCCGCGUGGGUGAUGAAGGUUUUCGGAUCGUAAAGCCCUUUUCUGCAUGACGAGACAGGACGGUAGUGCAGGAAGAAGUGUCGGCUAACUACGUGCCAGCAGCCGCGGUAAUACG